This 439-nucleotide ribosomal RNA is filed under the name uncultured bacterium. RNAcentral's name for it is "partial 16S ribosomal RNA". It matches the Rfam family "Bacterial small subunit ribosomal RNA", at positions 339 to 795 of the family's 1533-position model. The record is from RNAcentral.
CUACGGGACGCACCAGUGGGGAAUAUUGCACAAUGGAGGAAACUCUGAUGCAGCAACGCCGCGUGGAGGAUGACACUUUUCGGAGCGUAAACUCCUUUUAUAUAGGAAGAAGAUGACGGUACUAUAUGAAUAAGCGCCGGCUAACUCCGUGCCAGCAGCCGCGGUAAUACGGAGGGCGCAAGCGUUACUCGGAAUCACUGGGCGUAAAGAGCGUGUAGGCGGAUUAAAAAGUCAGAAGUGAAAUCCUAUAGCUUAACUAUAGAACUGCUUCUGAAACUCUUAAUCUAGAAUAUGGGAGAGGUAGAUGGAAUUUCUGGUGUAGGGGUAAAAUCCGUAGAGAUCAGAAGGAAUACCGAUUGCGAAGGCGAUCUACUGGAACAUUACUGACGCUGAGAUGCGAAAGCGUGGGGAGCAAACAGGAUUAGAUACCCCCGUAGUC